UACGAUUAUAAAAUGAAUGUUAUUUACUUUGAAUCUAAACACUUAAUUUUGGUAAUUAAUAUAUAUAUAUAUAUAUAUAUAGGCAACAUAAAUUUUAAAGGAACAGCAUGACAUUUACUGUGGGUAAAUGAUUUGUAAUUUCCAUGCUUCAAAUACUUUAAAUAAAUAUUUUUCUUUAGAAGAAAAUAUUAGAAAAUAUUCAUGGAUGUUCAUUAAUCAUGUCAUUUAUUCAAAUCAAAUGACAAAUUGCGUUGAAUAAAUUUCUUUUGAUCUUGGACUACUUCAUCGAGAGACAAUUUAUUAUUAAUCAUUGCCAAAAAAGAAAAUAUCAGUAUGUAUAUAGCUAUAUUUGUCAUCUCGUACCUUCAGCUCUGUGUUCCAGCGAAAUGAUACAAUGAAACGUCAUGGAAGAGAUAGGAAUUUCUCUAACAUUGUAUACUAUAUACUAGAACGCUGUUUCGUCUACAGUGAGAUUAGAGAAUGCAGUGGAUGAGAUGGACGGACGGAGUGAUCCCUCCGUGUCCCAAAACACAGAAACCAAUCCGCUUUGGAACAAGAUUCUGGCGUCAAUGGAAUUCAUAAUCACAGAAAAAUUACUAAGCGUGUCACUGAUGGAAAUCACAGGAUAUUGUCAUUAUCACGUGACGGCCAAUGCUGCACCCGAUUUGCAUAAAAUAUAAACAUUAUACUUCCGCCGGAAAAGACCUCGUCUAACCAAUAUGAACUGAAUCAGACAUCAAACAAGCUGAUGGGUAUCGCAGUACAAGCUGAUAAGUUACAUUAAUUUAAUUUGAAUGCGGUAUAAUUAAGAUUUCAUUGUAAUUGUCGGGAGCAGUUGGAUGAAGAUAAAAAAAAAUAUGCUGGAAACAGCGGACGUUAAUGAACCAUUUUGACAUCGCUUAUCGCAUUGGAAUUUUCAAUCCAAUGACCAUGACUCUUAAUUGUGGGUCUCAUGAUCUCUGACUCCUGUAAAAUUAAUGUGUUUUGGGUUGUUUUUUUUUUGUUUUUUGAUAAUUCAGAACAUGAAUUUGAUUUUCCGAUCGAUGAUCAUUUUGAAACGAAAUAUUCUACUGUAGACUCAAUAUCUAUUUCGUAAUCACUUGACGGGGGAACAAGGUACAAGUUGCACUUUUUUUUUUUUACGAUGUUCGUUCUUUGAGUGCAAACCUAAAUGAAUUUACAUGUAGAAGUAUAUAAUUCAUUUAGUUCUGCUAUUUUUCUAAUUUCCACCAGCACGUCAAUGGGGAUAUCACAUUGCCUGCCGUGCUAUUUAACGUUUCAACAAUGUUUCCAAAUAUUUAAUAAAAAAAAGUAUCAAAAGUAAACACGAAGGUGGUUAUUUUACCCGAAAAAAAAGGUACUACUACAAGUUUGAAAUAUUGAAAGGUCAAAGUACAUAAUAUUCUUUGCUGUCUCGUAUAAGCGCACAGAAACCUGGCUGCAAAUGAAGGUACGAUAAGGAAUAUAUAAUUAAAGAUGAGAUAAAUGCAUUAGUAGUGAUAGUUUUCCAAAGUCAGAUUAAACCCGGAGAACCCCUUCCAAUACUUUAAUACUUUUGUCAUUAUAUUUUAUCCCUCUGCACGUCAUAAUUCUGUGAUUUUCUUUCUGAUGUCACCACGAAAAGUGCGAGCCUAUUUACGUAUCACCAUGUUAGUAAAUUACGAGAAAAUGAUUAAUGAAUCUGUUUCAAUGGAGACAGUGACAGCUAACAUGAUAUCAAAUAAUUAUUUCUGAUGUACUGCACCGUUCAGCAACAGACAAGGGCGACAUGACAGAAUGUCAAAGCUCGACAGAGUGUGUUCAGUGGCGGUAAUCAGCUGUUGGACUUCAAGAUCAACGUCGAUUUGUCGUAAAAUAAUCUUGUUGCGAUUGUCGUAAAAUAAACUCAACGCAUUUCUGUGAAAAGAGAAGGGGAAUACUCACUAUUCAAUACUUAUCAGUACAGUGUUUUCUGCUUAGCUUAAUCCAUGGUGAACAAAUAUUCAUAAAAGCAUUUAGCUGUAUGCUCUAUACCAUAUACAUAGAUUACAUCCAAGAUACUUUUAAUUUUAUUCUGACUGAAAAUAGAUUAUAUUGAAAAAGUGUAAAAAAUGAGAAUUACAUUAACUAUUUGAAAAUAAUAAAAGGGUAAUUAAUUCCUAAUUUUUGAUAUAAAAAGAAGGGAAUGGGCCAAACUGAAAAUUAAUUGCAGUUUAAGUAAGUCAACAAAACAAAUAGGUUUAGUCUAUGAAUUUAGAUAUUUCAUUUCUCGAAAGUAUUAGCAUGGCUUUAUUUUAUGAUAUUGAUGAUAAUUCAACUUCAGGACACUGAAGAAUAUCAUAAUUCUUUGACCAAGUUUAUGGGUAUAUAAGAAACUAAGAUAAUACAAUAAUGCUUAUUCAAAUAAACUUAAACAUAUUAUUUCAACAUAUGUGGCCGUGAUAAUAAUCGACACUUUAAUUCCAGACUAGCAAUCUAGCGACGACAAUGGGAAUGAUAAUUUCAGGCCACUCGGUGUCUGUAUAACCAACAUGUUCUUUAGAUAAAGAAGGUGGGGCUAGUCGGCAAAAAGGGGAAUGUUUUUGUGUGUUGUUAUCUAAUAGCCACAUAGCAGAGAGGACUAAGUAUCCACAGUCUCUUUCAAGUUUGGGAAGUUGUUGAUUCGUCGACAUGAUACGUGACGCCCCAACAGUACAGUGUCUUCUCUGCAAUCUUUGAUUACAGACGUGGCGGGGGAAGAGCGAACAUGCGAUGCCCUUCGUUCAUACUAGAUUCCAGAAUGUCCGACCUCAAACAUCAAAUUAUUUUACAAGUCGUAAACACGGAAAGAAAGAGUGGUGAAAAUGAAUUAGUAAAUAAAGAUGAAAAAUAGGUCUCCGCGUGCGUUGAUCAAUCCAGUAAAAGUGUAUUACAAGUUACUGCGUGACAAUUUCCUUUAUUUUUUUUAAACAAUUUCAGCUAUGCCAUGAGCUGUAGUGGUUGAAAAGCGAGUUAUAUUUUGCUAUGACGAGAGCAACUUGUGAUCGCGUUCAAGGAAACUCGAAACCUGUUUAACGGUGUCGUUAUUAACAUGCCCACCUACAAAGAUCCUCUGAUACUUGAUAUUCUAGUUUUUAAACUGUAUUUAAAAAAAAAACCAACCACAUUAUGGUAAACAUAUACAAGUCAAGAACAGUUUUUGUUUGUAAAUAUGAAUUGUCGACUGUAAACCAAAAUCAACACUCGUUAACCAAUUUGUGGUUGUUAGCAACAUUUUCAAAUAUCGUGAAACUAUAUUUAUCCAAUAAAUUAUGAUUUACACUUAAGAAUUAUAGUUUUCAAUUUUUAACUACAUAGUUAACGACAAAGCAGAUUCCUACACGUGUAUCCCACCGCUGUUAAGUAUAAUUAACUCUCGUAAACUAUAUUCUAGAGAGAUUAUCUAUAAUCAAAAGUUGUAAAUCAUCGUUUAACGCUACAAACUAUAGCUUACUAUUUUAAACCUUUCAUUUACAAUUUUGAAAUCACCGUUAAUAACAAUAUCGUUCACCCAUCGUAGAUGCGGUAAAUUCUCGAUUAAAAUCUGCAACUUCACCAAGCCGGUAACCAAAAAUAUGUAAGGAUGGCACGAUUUGAAUAGACUAGGGUUGUUUGGGGACCGCCCAAGAAACAAAACUGGUCAAAUCAAGUCUGAACUCUACUAGUAUAUAGCCUUAAAAUCGGUUCCUCAGCAGUACUUAAUUUUUGUUUUCAAGGAGGUGCAAACGCAUCGCUCGCACUCUUCUUCUGCCAGCGAGUCUGCCACUGGUUCAGUAAAUUAUUCAUUCAAAAUUGCUGAAAAAUAAGAACUUAUCCUUUAUUGUAGGCCUUUUCAGUUCUAAAAAGACUGUUCAUAAUAUGCAAAAUGACAUAAUGAUUUGAAAUAAUUUUUUAAAAAGUAGCAGAAAUGUGUAGCGAUUUAGAAAGCUGAAUGAUGUCCGUUACACGAAUGACCAGUUAUCAUGACAUUAUAUAUAGUCAGAACGUUAAUAAAAUACCACACAAAUGAAAACAAUGGCUGCAAGUUCAGAUUUAACCAAACCAUAACUAGAUAUAGUUUACGAUUGUUGAAAAUAUAGUUUAUGAAUAUUCGUUAGGUAUAGUUGACAAUGAAAAGUAAAAAAAAGUUUAACUGAUAAAUAUGUGUAAGCGGAAGGUGAAAUGGAGUAAGAGAGAAGGAAGGGAGGAAGAAGAGAAAAGAAGGGAAGGAGAGGAAAGAAGAGAUGAAGGAAGUAGAGGGGAGUUGGAGUUGGAGUCCAACUUUAAGUAAUUUUGUGUCCUGAACAACUGUGUUUAGCAUUUGUAAACCACCGUAUUUUACGUCGUUUAAUAUAUUUAACUUCGUAAACUAUAGUAUACAAUUGAUUAUGAUAAACCUACUUUAAAUGAGUAUAUGUUAAUUUGACGAUCCAUGCAUCAAGAUGUUUUGUAGAGACAAUUUUGAUGUACUGGUAUGAUACAGCAUUUUGAUCUGUGAUGAAAACCGAACAAGAAAAAAUGUUACAAUAUGAUACAAGAGAAAUUCUUUGACUUUCAAAGAAAUGCAUGUCUCUAAAUAGAACAGAAAAAAACCCAACCAAGAACCCAACACAAAUAUAGGUUAUAUCAACGAACAUUGAUACGGACAAAAAAUAAAUCUACACGAAAAUUAAGUUUUCGGGUUUAUCGAAUAUUUAAAGAAGGAAGUGUUUAAUAUAUAACCGCAUUCUUACGACAUAAAUUUCAAACUCUGAAAGAAAUUAAUUAAUUAAUGUUUACCCCCAGAGAAUAAAUAAAGAGUACAUCUCGUCUUCAAAACAAACGUGUUGACAGGAAGAGCUCUCGAACUGUGAACAAACAACUUCUAUGCGUGUAAAGACCGAGUUGGGGACAAAUUCCGCGUGGACUAGCAAGUAACUCUGCUCCUCGUCCAUCGAACAACUUCUGAGGAGCCACCAACACGGACGAAUUGAUCACGACGUGGACAGCGAAGACACGUGGUGGAGACGCCCCCUAGCAUUGGUUCACGCUCACACCCCUAAAACAAAGAAUAAUCUCGGUCUGUGUGUUUGAACGACGAGAUUAUUACUUUUCGUCAAAUGAAAAGAAAGCUGCCCAAUGUUCAUCCUUACAUCAUUUAUAUGCAGCACCACCCACCCGUUGACAAUGGUUGAUGUCAAAAUCUGGCCAGUCUCAUGAAAAAGGUCAAGUCCACCACAAGAUCAUUGGACACUGUCCCAUAAGUGCUCUUCAAAUUGUUUGUCGUUGACAUAAAUAAUGUGUAAUGUUUGCUCAAUUAUCCUGUCACCUAAUUCAAAGCUGAUAUGCCAUUUUAUGACAUAUUUGCAUAUUCUAAAGCGUUGAUUAGAAAUGUUUUCUUUAACUUGGAUGUUACAGCAAUUAAAUACGUCUCAGAAA
Long non-coding RNA from Ostrea edulis (European flat oyster), 5394 nucleotides. RefSeq lists it as uncharacterized. NCBI's taxonomy places the organism in Eukaryota, Metazoa, Mollusca, Bivalvia, Ostreida, Ostreidae. The transcript has 2 exons. The record is from RefSeq and is a predicted model, not a curated record.